CGAGCGGUAGAGAUUCUUCGGAAUCUUGAGAGCGGCGUACGGGUGCGGAACACGUGUGCAACCUGCCUUUAUCUGGGGGAUAGCCUUUCGAAAGGAAGAUUAAUACCCCAUAAUAUACUGAAUGGCAUCAUUCGGUAUUGAAAACUCCGGUGGAUAGAGAUGGGCACGCGCAAGAUUAGAUAGUUGGUGAGGUAACGGCUCACCAAGUCUACGAUCUUUAGGGGGCCUGAGAGGGUGAUCCCCCACACUGGUACUGAGACACGGACCAGACUCCUACGGGAGGCAGCAGUGAGGAAUAUUGGACAAUGGGUGAGAGCCUGAUCCAGCCAUCCCGCGUGAAGGACGACGGCCCUAUGGGUUGUAAACUUCUUUUGUAUAGGGAUAAACCUAGAUACGUGUAUCUAGCUGAAGGUACUAUACGAAUAAGCACCGGCUAACUCCGUGCCAGCAGCCGCGGUAAUACGGAGGGUGCAAGCGUUAUCCGGAUUUAUUGGGUUUAAAGGGUCCGUAGGCGGAUCUGUAAGUCAGUGGUGAAAUCUCACAGCUUAACUGUGAAACUGCCAUUGAUACUGCAGGUCUUGAGUGUUGUUGAAGUAGCUGGAAUAAGUAGUGUAGCGGUGAAAUGCAUAGAUAUUACUUAGAACACCAAUUGCGAAGGCAGGUUACUAAGCAACAACUGACGCUGAUGGACGAAAGCGUGGGGAGCGAACAGGAUUAGAUACCCUGGUAGUCCACGCCGUAAACGAUGCUAACUCGUUUUUGGAGCGCAAGCUUCAGAGACUAAGCGAAAGUGAUAAGUUAGCCACCUGGGGAGUACGAACGCAAGUUUGAAACUCAAAGGAAUUGACGGGGGCCCGCACAAGCGGUGGAUUAUGUGGUUUAAUUCGAUGAUACGCGAGGAACCUUACCAAGGCUUAAAUGGGAAAUGACAGGUUUAGAAAUAGACUUUUCUUCGGACAUUUUUCAAGGUGCUGCAUGGUUGUCGUCAGCUCGUGCCGUGAGGUGUUAGGUUAAGUCCUGCAACGAGCGCAACCCCUGUCACUAGUUGCCAUCAUUAAGUUGGGGACUCUAGUGAGACUGCCUACGCAAGUAGAGAGGAAGGUGGGGGAUGACGUCAAAUCAUCACGGCCCUUACGCCUUGGGCCACACACGUAAUACAAUGGCCGGUACAGAGGGCAGCUACACUGCGAAGUGAUGCAAAUCUCGAAAGCCGGUCUCAGUUCGGAUUGGAGUCUGCAACUCGACUCUAUGAAGCUGGAAUCGCUAGUAAUCGCGCAUCAGCCAUGGCGCGGUGAAUACGUUCCCCGGGCCUUGUACACACCGCCCGUCAAGCCAUGGAAGUCUGGGGUACCUGAAGUCGGUGACC
RNAcentral lists this ribosomal RNA (1366 nucleotides) under Chryseobacterium sp. R4B3. RNAcentral's name for it is "16S ribosomal RNA". It matches the Rfam family "Bacterial small subunit ribosomal RNA", at positions 63 to 1435 of the family's 1533-position model. Lineage: Bacteria; Pseudomonadati; Bacteroidota; Flavobacteriia; Flavobacteriales; Weeksellaceae. The record is from RNAcentral.